Molecule: ribosomal RNA, 856 nt
Filed under: Pseudoteichospora thailandensis
Lineage: Eukaryota; Fungi; Ascomycota; Dothideomycetes; Pleosporales; Teichosporaceae
Description: Pezizomycotina sp. DB-2023e partial large subunit ribosomal RNA
Rfam family: Eukaryotic large subunit ribosomal RNA
Source: RNAcentral
CACCAGGGAUUGCCCUAGUAACGGCGAGUGAAGCGGCAACAGCUCAAAUUUGAAAUCUGGCUCCUUUGGGGUCCGAGUUGUAAUUUGCAGAGGGUGCUUUGGUGUUGGCUGUGGUCCAAGUUCCCUGGAACAGGACGUCGCAGAGGGUGAGAACCCCGUACGUGGCCGCCAGCCUUCGCCGUGUAAAGCCCCUUCGAAGAGUCGAGUUGUUUGGGAAUGCAGCUCUAAAUGGGAGGUAAAUUCCUUCUAAAGCUAAAUAUUGGCCAGAGACCGAUAGCGCACAAGUAGAGUGAUCGAAAGAUGAAAAGCACUUUGGAAAGAGAGUGAAAAAGCACGUGAAAUUGUUGAAAGGGAAGCGCUUGGAGCCAGACGUGCCCGUAGUUGCUCAGCCGGGGUCCUCCCCGGUGCACUCUUCUGCGGGCAGGCCAGCAUCAGUUUGGGCGGUUGGACAAAGGCCUGCUAAAUGUACCUUCCCCCGGGAAGGACUUAUAGGGUAGGUGGCAUACAACCAGCCCGGACUGAGGACCGCGCAUCUGCUAGGAUGCUGGCGUAAUGGCUGUAAGCGGCCCGUCUUGAAACACGGACCAAGGAGUCUAAAAUCUAUGCGAGUGUUUGGGUGUCAAGCCCGAGCGCGCAAUGAAAGUGAACGUAGGUGGGAACCCCUCGGGGUGCACCAUCGACCGAUCCUGAUGUCUUCGGAAGGAUUUGAGUAUGAGCAUAGCUUUUGGGACCCGAAAGAUGGUGAACUAUGCCUGAAUAGGGUGAAGCCAGAGGAAACUCUGGUGGAGGCUCGCAGCGGUUCUGACGUGCAAAUCGAUCGUCAAAUUUGGGCAUAGGGGCGAAAGACUAAUCGAAC